RNAcentral lists this ribosomal RNA (253 nucleotides) under uncultured bacterium. Its description in RNAcentral is "partial 16S ribosomal RNA". It matches the Rfam family "Bacterial small subunit ribosomal RNA", at positions 524 to 776 of the family's 1533-position model. The record is from RNAcentral.
GACAGAGGGUGCAAACGUUGCUCGGAAUUACUGGGCGUAAAGCGCGUGUAGGCGGCCAGGUAGGUCCGUUGUGAAAACUCGAGGCUCAACCUCGAGAGGUCAUCGGAAACCAUCUGGCUAGAGUCCGGAAGAGGAGAGUGGAAUUCCCGGUGUAGCGGUGAAAUGCGCAGAUAUCGGGAAGAACACCUAUGGCGAAGGCAGCUCUCUGGGACGGUACUGACGCUGAGACGCGAAAGCGUGGGGAGCGGACAGG